UCCAGACUCCUACGGGAGGCAGCAGUGAGGAAUAUUGGUCAAUGGCCGAGAGGCUGAACCAGCCAAGUCGCGUGAGGGAUGACGGCCCUACGGGUUGUAAACCUCUUUUGCCGGGGAGCAAAGUGCCGCACGUGUGCGGUUUGGAGAGUACCCGGAGAAAAAGCAUCGGCUAACUCCGUGCCAGCAGCCGCGGUAAUACGGAGGAUGCGAGCGUUAUCCGGAUUUAUUGGGUUUAAAGGGUGCGCAGGCGGAAGAUCAAGUCAGCGGUAAAAUUGAGAGGCUCAACCUCUUCGAGCCGUUGAAACUGGUUUUCUUGAGUGAGUGAGAAGUAUGCGGAAUGCGUGGUGUAGCGGUGAAAUGCAUAGAUAUCACGCAGAACUCCGAUUGCGAAGGCAGCAUACCGGCGCUCAACUGACGCUCAUGCACGAAAGUGUGGGUAUCGAACAGGAUUAGAUACCCUCGUA
RNAcentral lists this ribosomal RNA (464 nucleotides) under uncultured bacterium. RNAcentral describes it as "bacterial SSU rRNA". It matches the Rfam family "Bacterial small subunit ribosomal RNA", at positions 330 to 792 of the family's 1533-position model. The record is from RNAcentral.